AGCAGCCGCGGUAAUUCCAGCUCCAAUAGCGUAUAUUAAAGUUGUUGCAGUUAAAAAGCUCGUAGUUGAAUUUCGGGGUUAGCAGGUCGGUCGUGCCAUCGGUAUGAACUGGUCUCGCUGAUCCCUCCCUCUUGACGAACUGUGAUGCCAUUAAUUUGGUGUCGCAGGGAAUCAGGACUGUUACUUUGAAAAAUUAGAGUGUUUAAAGCAGGCUCACGCUUGAAUACAUUAGCAUGGAAUAAUGAAAUAGGACGUUUGAUCCUAUUUUGUUGGCUUCUAGGAUUGACGUAAUGAUUAAUAGGGAUAGUUGGGGGCAUUAGUAUUCAAUUGUCAGAGGUGAAAUUCUUGGAUUUAUUGAAGACUAACUACUGCGAAAGCAUUUGCCAAGGAUGUUUUCAUUAAUCAAGAACGAAAGUUAGGGGAUCGAAGACGAUCAGAUACCGUCGUAGUCUUAACCAUAAACUAUGCCGACUAGGGAUCGGAUGAUGUUAAUUUUUAAUGA
RNAcentral lists this unclassified non-coding RNA (502 nucleotides) under uncultured Glomus. Its description in RNAcentral is "SSU rRNA". It matches the Rfam family "Eukaryotic small subunit ribosomal RNA", at positions 569 to 1074 of the family's 1831-position model. Lineage: Eukaryota; Fungi; Glomeromycota; Glomeromycetes; Glomerales; Glomeraceae. The record is from RNAcentral.